This 355-nucleotide unclassified non-coding RNA is filed under the name soil metagenome. RNAcentral's name for it is "partial contains 5.8S ribosomal RNA, internal transcribed spacer 2, and large subunit ribosomal RNA". The stretch from base 1 to 120 matches the Rfam family "5.8S ribosomal RNA", at positions 35 to 154 of the family's 154-position model. The record is from RNAcentral.
GAUGAAGAACGCAGUGAAAUGCGAUAAGUAAUGUGAAUUGCAGAAUUCAGUGAAUCAUCGAAUCUUUGAACGCACAUUGCGCCCAUUAGUAUUCUAGUGGACAUGCCUGUUCGAGCGUCAUUAAGUCCACUUAAGCCCUGCUUAGUGUUGGGAGACUGCUCCAGCGGUGCUACCCUGUAGCUACCCUGCAGCUCCUCAAAGACAGCGGCGGAGUUGUGGUAUCCUCUGAGCUUAGUAACUUGUUCUAGCUUUCGAGUACACCACUUCCCCUGCCGUAAAACCCUUAAUUUUUAAUGGUUGACCUCGGAUCAGGUAGGAAUACCCGCUGAACUUAAGCAUAUCAAUAAGCGGAGGA